Long non-coding RNA from Salvia splendens (bonfire salvia), 130 nucleotides. RefSeq lists it as uncharacterized. The record is from RefSeq and is a predicted model, not a curated record. Lineage: Eukaryota; Viridiplantae; Streptophyta; Magnoliopsida; Lamiales; Lamiaceae. The transcript has 2 exons.
CUUUUUCUCAUUACAUUCUUUGUUGAACAUUUUGCAGAGAUUUGAUCAAAUUUUAGGUAUACUUUUGCCUUGAGAAAGCUUCAAAAGUAACAGUUCUGCACCAAGAUAUGAAUCCACAACCUGUUGGUUU